This 25-nucleotide non-coding RNA is filed under the name Mus musculus (house mouse). Lineage: Eukaryota; Metazoa; Chordata; Mammalia; Rodentia; Muridae. The record is from RNAcentral.
UUGCUUCUUUGAUUGGUCUGUAAGC